GUACUGAUCCAACAGUAUUAUUCUAGAAGUACUAAUCUUCAGUACCAAUCCAUCAGUACUGCCAAACUAACAGUAUUAUUCUAGAAGUACUGAUCUACAGUACCCAUUCUUCAGUACUGAUCCAACAGUAUUAUUCUAUAAGUACUAAUUUACAGUACUGAUCCAACAGUAUUAUUCUAUAAGUACUAAUCUACAGUACCAAUCACAAGACCUUCCGCCACACCAACAGUUUCUUCCCGUCGGCAGUCGGGCUCAUCAACAGAGCCGGUCCCCCUCUGACUGACUAUAACAUUCCACCGGUCACUCCCUUCACACUGCACAUGUCACUUUAACUGUCAUUUAUCACUUUGUCGUCACUCGUCACUUUGUCACUUGUUCGCUAGUGCACUUUAUGCUUAAUAUUUUUUUAACUUUUUUAAUAUUUUAAAUUUUUAACUCUAAUUUUAUUAUCUUGUUUUACACUAACCCAUAGCCUUAUUCUACUAACGCAUUGCAUUAGCAUUUCAUUUUACUUUAUUUUAUUACUUGUGCGCUGUUGUCUAUUGUUACACUGUCUACUGUCACGCACCAACCGCCAAGACAAAUUCCUUGUAUGUUUGACAUAUUUUGGCAAUAAAUGUUUCCUGAUUCCUGAAAUAUAAUAUAAUAUAUACAAAAUAAGGGUCUGUUCAGGGGUGCGAUAUAUCAAAUUGCUGGCGAGGGCAGGACAAUUCCUUUGGAAGUCAUGCGGGUCAUAUUAACCCACACACCUUAGAAGUGGCCAUUGCUGGCUGCACACACAGCACUCGCACACACAUAGAUAUGCACACAUAGACGCACACGGUGUGGCUUAGGGUUUUUAAAGGAACCUCCUCAGGAUGGAAGGGUUAGUUGCUUUGUUUCGUGUGGCCCGUGGUGGGCAGAGGGAGAAAUCCAUUUAGAGAACAAAGAAAUGGUGACUUUAAAAAAAAAAUGAUUUGUCCAAGAGUUUCCUGUGAAUAUAAUGUUGUUUCCACUUGUUUGCACUUUGGGAGAAGCACAAUAAAUUUGCACCACCUCUGCCUGCGACAACGCAGUUACUGUUCAGUAAGUACUGUAGACUGAGGUUUGUGUACCUUUUGUUUUCUCGUUUUUCGUACGGAAGUGGGCGCCCGUUUUAGCGAUUUUCGUUUAGAACCAAAAACGAGACAGAAACUUUUUACUGCAUUAAUCCCUUUUUGGGUUUUGCCUACAAAACCAAAAUACGCUAAACCGCCAGUACGUAGAUUUUCACAGUAAGAGUCAACGCAAUGGAACGUUUGUAUGCUAGAAAUCCCUCUGUGAUGAAUGCGGUUACCAUGGUAACAUUAGAAGAAAAGUUAAUUAAUCAAUAUAAAUAAUGAAUCCUGGUCCGAUGGAAUGUGUGUUAGUAGUAGCACAACAGUAGCCCACCUGUUACUCUUAGCUCUGAUAUUUAUUUUCCACGUAUUGUGUUGCUUCAGUGACAGUGAGGCAGUACAAGGAGAUGCAGAGUAAACUUGUGCACAUCUUUCACGGUCACAGUUUUCAACAGUUUUAAAACUUAAAACCCUCCUCCCAAAACAGGCUUCAGCAGUUAACUAGUGUUAUUUGGCAGGAAAUACAUGUUCUGUAACAGUGUCAUGCUGGUGUGUGCAACAUGCUAACAACAUGCUAAAGAGCAGGUAGUCUUUGCAAUGCUUCCUAACCCAAUGUGCACAGCUCCAGAGAUCACUCUGAGGGUCACAUGGAAGGUAUAGCAAUCAAGAAAAGAGAAUGAAUUUCUUUAUUGUUCUUGUCUAGUGAGAAAAAUGAAAAAUAUAAAAUAUUCUAUGGUCAAAAUGUAUGAAUUCCAUAAAGCCAUUUCCCUCACACCACAGCAUUUGACCAACAUUAUUUCUUAUUAUCUGGGCCCUUUGACCUCUUGGGUCUAACCGUUCGAUUUAGGAUGAAAGAACCAGAAAACAAACGUCUCUAUUCAUAAACUGUCAUUAUUUAUUGCUUAAUAAACACAUGUAUCCUCUUCCAUGAAAUAAAUAUAACAAGAUGUAUAAAAUCUCACAACUCUUUCUUGUAUCUGUUUCUACCAGGCUGAAAUCUCUGGAUUUUUGCCAGAAUGAAAGGUCGCUACCAGUUGUCUUGUAUGGCAGUAUAGUUCUAAUUAUUCUAAUUUAAUGUAAUUUGACCCUUUUAACACUGUGCUUUCUACAAAUUCUUUUCUGGAUAUGAACAUAUUUUUUAUCACCAAACGAUAUGAUCUUGACUGCCUUGAUUUUAUACAUAUUCGACACGAAGAAAAUAUUCAACCUGAUUCUGGGGCGUCAUUCAUACCGAACCGGAACCGGUCUGAGAUGGCAACCGGAUCACGUCAAACUCAUUUCUUUUGUACCGCCGGGUUCAGGCCCAGUUUUUCUUAGAUUAUGGCCCAGUGACGGCAAUGUAUGACGGAAUCGGGGCGGUGUAUUCGGCCUGAUUCUGGGGUGUCAUUCAUCCCGAGCCUGGACUCGGCCCGACGUGUUUCUUCCGGCGUGCCAAGCUCAAGCCAGAACUGGGCCAGGUAAUUUUGGGCCAAAUGUCAAGUCAAUCGUGCAUCAGGGGGAAAAAUGGGCUACUGUGUUACUUUUCAAAUUUCUAGGGGGCGCAAUGGGGACAUUUCUUUAUACCCAAAUAUGAGACCCAAAAAAUAUAAAAGAUUUUUACCAGACCUGGUAUGCAUGUCAAAUUUUUGGGGUAUGAUAACGAUAAAAGAUAAUAAUUAAAGCUGAUGAACGGGCCAUUGCCUGCCCUUGCAUGUCGGGAGGGCUGCCCGACAGUCGGACAUGUGGUCGGAAUACUUUUUUUGUAGAUGUGUAGUACACACCAUUCUGAUUGAGUAGAGGUCCGAAAGAUAUAUUCUGUAAAAUGAAUAUGUAGACUGAACUACUUCUCUUUCCGGGAAAAGAUUCUCCUACACAGAACUUGACUGUUAACUUUGAGACUCUGUGUUAACGUCCACUUUGACUGCAGGAACCUCAGCGUGACGUCGACAGCCGACUCUCCCUGACUCCAACAUCACUGACAACACCAUCCUGUAGAUACACGCUCUACAACAUCAGGAGAACACGUCCUCUUCUCACUCAGAAGGAGGUACUGAUUCAGACUCUUGUCGUCUCCCUCCUGGACUACUGUAACUGUCUCCUGCAGGUCUCCUGCUACCACCAUUCCACCUCUGCAGCUCAUCCAGAAUGCAGCAGCUCCACUGGUCUUUAACCUUCCUAAGUUCUCCCUCACUCCUCCACUCCUCCGCUCUCUUCACUGGUACCGGUGGCUCAUCCAGUUCUAACCAUGGUGCUCACGUACCAUGCUGUGAAUGGAUGGGGUCCAGCUUACAUCCAGGACCUGGUCCAACCCGACAUCCCGACCCGCACUCUCCGCUCUGCAUGUGAUAAACUGCUUGUUCCUCCUCACUGAGAGCAAAACACUCGACUCUUGUUUCUUGUUCUUUCGAGUUUGUAUCCUUAUGGUUGAAAUGCACUUAUUACACCAGUAUACAGCCAUAAUUCUGAAACUAUGUAAUCAAUAAAGAAAUUAGAAUAGUGUAAUAUCACUGUAAUUGUGAAACUGUAAUUGAUAGAAUAAUAAGAAUGCACAGCUAUGGUUGUAACCAACCUGAAAUGCAUGAAAUACUUUGUUUGUUUGACUUUCAUUUCCAAUCCAAGAUGUCUUGUAUGUCUGUUCGUUCGGAGUUUCUUCAUUUUUGAACAGAACAAUAACACUGUGGGUUCACGCCUUCUCUUAACCGGUUGCUGUCCGCUCGGUGUGCUUGUGUGGACGCCUCCACUUUCGGGGGCGUCAGAGGACUGAGGCACCACGAUCGACUAAAAUGUUGGUGACAUUUAUAUGUUACAUGAAUAUAAUAUAUCGCAGCACUAAAAAUGAUAAUUUUCAUAUAUUGUGCUAUAAGUCAAUAUAUUGAUGAUCGCGACAGGCCUAGUGUCAACAAUGAAUCUAAUCAUGAUGGAUCUCUGUGACUCUGAGACAAAGGACGCCCUCUGAUCGAUGGAUGUGACCUCAGAGGAAGCGGGCCAUUUGGUUUGGCGAAGCAGCCAUUAACCAGCUAUUUGAAGUACAGCCAAGGCGUCAUGAUUUAAAGCUGCAUUCUCUGUAGUGACCACCAGGGGUCUUCACCGAGUAGAGAAAAUGACUCUACUUCUCUGUUGAUUUAUUCCCUCAGUAAACAUUAUAAACGUGAGUUUGUGGUCUCAAUCUCUAGUCUUCUUCAAUACAGCAUGAUGCAUGUUUAGUAAAUUAUCAUCCAUUUAGAGACAAACAGACCAUAAAGUAGGGGAUGCUCUAGGGCGGGGCUACACCCCGAGACGUAUACGGCGUCCUUAAUCUUAAUAUAGUCACUUUUUGGUUAAAAUGUCCACAAACCAAUCACAAAGGACUUGGUCCACUUCUUCUACUCUAGUCUAUGGUUCAACAUUUUAGCAAUGAUCCAAUAUUUGAAUGCAGGGCGCCCCCGUUAUAAUGGUAGGGGAAACACUGGAAUGUUUACUUCUGACUAAAGAUGUGAACAUGAUGGAAGAGGUCAUGGGAAAACAUCAACAGGGUCAUUUAAGAGCAGAUAAUGUGUGUGUGUGUGUGUGUGUGUGUGUUGGUCUAUUUAUAGCAGCAGUUUCAGUCAUUACACUGAUUUUCUUCAGUUCAGACAGUCAGUCAUUUAUUUUCUUCUGUUAGUGAUCCUGACCACACUACAUUACCCGGAAUCCUUCCAGGAUUCCAGGAAGCAGGCCAGGCUUUCAGUUUACCACUGCAAGUAUUAUGCUAAGUUGGGCUAGAAACAUCCUGGAUCCGUGUCUAUACUGAUCACAGAGAUUGGUUGGUUCUACUUAACCGUCUCUACAAUCAAUCGGUUCUACUUAGUCUUUGUUGAGUUCCACUCAUCACUGAUGAGGUUCUAGUGAUCAUUAAAAAAGGUUCUACGGGUCAUUGAUGGGGUUCACAUCAACGCUGUGUACAAGAAUGGGAUGGGUCGACUCUUUUUCUUGAGGAAACUUACUUACGAUACUUGUAUGUGUGCAGCAAGAUGUUGGAGAGGAGAAGGGGAGAGGGGGGUUGUCCAUGAGUGUCCAUGAGUACGCCAACUAACCAGAUGCGGCACUGGUUCUUUUAACCAAUCAUCACCUUGCUGUCAAACUUUUUAAGGCGUGAUCUUCGCGGGUCUUUGCAGAUCAAAUCGAAUGCUAGCCUCCUCCAGUCCAGGCACUUCCAGCCACCUUCCGUCCAUACUCCAGGCACCAUCUGCUUGCAGCAACUUCUCGUCUUCACCAACACCAGUGCCUGGACUCCAGGGGGGUUCUGGUGGAGCAGAACUUGAUAAUCAAGCCCCCUUGAUUAUCCGGGUCGAGGAUAGAGUCCAAUCGGCAAUGAUUCACACUAUUUCUUGUAAAGUAAUGUUGAUGCAGAACGCGUCUCUCCUGAUUGAACUACUACUACUACUACUAUUCGGUUGUGGCCAGUGCUCUGUACUUCGCCAUUGUCUGCUGGGGGAGCAGCAUUGGAGCUGGUGACACUAACAGACCUAAGAAGCUGUUGAACAAGGUCGGCUCCAUCAUUGGCUGCCAACAGGAGCAUCCAGAACAGGUGGUGGAGAGGAGGACACUGAAAAAACUGUUGUCAAUAUUGGACAACCCGGGGACCAACCUCUUCACCACCAACUGCAGGGACACGGAGAACCUUCGUACUGUCUGCACCAACCGCCAAGUCAAAUUCCUUGUAUGUCUGACAUACUGUAUUAUGGCAAUAAAUGUUUCCUGAUUCCUCAACAGGAUGAUCCAGAUACAAGAAAAUAUUCCUGCCAACUGCAAUAGGACAAAAAAUCACCUCCGGCUAAAUCAUAAACCAUUACUCAUAACCAUUGUACCACUGUUUCAAUUUAAUUUAAUAUCAAUAACCAUUGGAAUACUGUUUAAUUUAAUUUAAUAUCAAUAACCAUUGCACUAUUUUAUUUAAUUUUAUACCGAUUUCACUCCACAUACUUCUAUUUCACUAAAUAUACUAUCCAGUUUCUACAUGUCUUGGAGGAAUCUCCAGUGAUGAGGUUCUACAUGCCUGUUCUACAAGGUGGUUUGAGUAUUUAGUAGCUUCUGCAUGUCCUCGAGGUGGUCCUAGUAAUCACUGAUGAGGUACAUGUCCUUAAGGUGGUUCUAGAAACCACAGAGGAGGUACAUGUCCUUAAGGUGGUUCUAGAGAUCACUGAUGAGGUUCCACGUGUCCUUAAGGUGGUUUUAGAGAUCACUGAUGAGGUACAUGUCCUUAAGGUGGUUCUAGAGAUCACUGAUGAGGUUCCACGUGUCCUUAAGGUGGUUUUAGAGAUCACUGAUGAGGUACAUGUCCUUAAGGUGGUUCUAGAAACCACUGAUGAGGUUCCAUGUGUCCUUAAGGUGGUUCUAGAGAUCACUGAUGAGGUUCGAUGUGUCCUUAAGGUGGUUCUAGAGAUCACUGAUGAGGUACAUGUCCUUAAGGUGGUUCUAGAGAUCACUGAUGAGGUUCCACGUGUCCUCAAGGUGGUUUUAGAGAUCACUGAUGAGGUACAUGUCCUUAAGGUGGUUCUAGAAACCACUGUUACAUUACAUGUCAUUUAGCUGACGCUUUUAUCCAAAGCGACGUACAAUAAGUGCAUUCAACCAUAGGGUACAAACUCAGGAGAACAAGAAA
Long non-coding RNA from Gasterosteus aculeatus aculeatus (three-spined stickleback), 6675 nucleotides. The record is from Ensembl. Lineage: Eukaryota; Metazoa; Chordata; Actinopteri; Perciformes; Gasterosteidae.